Apteryx haastii (Great spotted kiwi) is the source of this 1644-nucleotide long non-coding RNA. The record is from Ensembl. Lineage: Eukaryota; Metazoa; Chordata; Aves; Apterygiformes; Apterygidae.
AUGGUUGGGAAUAAAUACAAGGUGCCUGGAGGCGGGUGCGCGGGGGGCUCGCGGCCCUCGCCCCCGGGCAGCUUGCACGCUUGCACAUGCGUUUGCACGCUUGCACAUGCGCUCGCACACUUGCACGCUUGCACACGCACACUCCCUUCCCGGGGGAGCCGGGGGAGCACAGGAACAGCCCGGAGCCGCCCCGCCUGCACCAACGCACGCGCGCGCGCACGCACACACACGCCGCGGCGGCAUAUGAUGCUCAGCCGAUCUCUGCGGCCCGAAACGCCUCAUAAUAAAUUCAUUAUCUCAGGCGCCUUCGGCAUGUUCCGCGCUCGCUUGCAAAGCAGCAAUUUUCCCCAAGUGUCGGGCUGGAGGGGAAAAGCAGCGCGGGGAGGGGAGAUGCCGCUCGGGAGGAAAAACCCUCCCCGGGACACGGUGGGCGGGCGUGCGAGCGAGGCGUCCGCGCAGGGAGAGCUUCUGCCGCGUUUAAUCUUUGGGAAUUGCCGCUCGUUCUGCCGUUGCCCCAGCAAGGGAGCAGAGGGACGGGACGGCCCCGAGCCCCCGGGGCAGGGAUGGGCUGGCCGUCGCUCCUCCCCGUCUGCACGCUGGGGUGCACAACACACGCACCGAGUGCGCCAGGCCUCUGCGCCGCCCUGGAUCGCCGCCGGCUGGGUCCAGCCCUGCCGCGCGGCUCCGAACCAGUUCUGCAACUCCCUUCCCGGCAGCUGCGGGAUCCCAAGCGCGGUGGCGAUAGAAUCGGCGCUCCGCCUGGGCUCGGGCCCCAGCAGCACCGCUCAGCCCGUCCCUCCGACGGCGGCGGCGUCCGUCUGUCCAGGGUCCCGCUCCCCGUGGCCCCAAUCCCCAGGCUGCUGCAGGAUGGCCCCGGCGCGGGAUCCUCGUUAUCCCAGCAUCCCUCACCCCGUCGCUGCGCACCUUCCCACCGCACCCCCUGGACGCUGUCCCCAGCUGAGCCUUCGCACCGUGAGCCGGGCUAAAAAAGUCCCUUGCGCGUCGCUCCCGCCGCCCCUCCCCUGCUGCCGGCUGGUUUUCCCGGCAGUCGGAUCCGUGCUGAAAAACAGGUCAAGUUUGCACCCUGGCAGCAACCCCGGGGUCACGUCACCGGCCCGGAUUGCCUCGCCCAGGAAGGCGAGCCGAAAGGCACGGGGUUUCCACCGAAAAUGGGUGGAAAUGGGGGGACCCCCGCUGCUGCCCGGCCCCUUUUCCUGCUGCGGGAAGCCCCCCGCACGCCCGGAGCUCGUGCAAUGCACAGCGCCUCCAAGGGCAGCUGCUUUCUCCGCCCGCUCCCACUCCUGGAGAGACCGGGACGCUCCCGGCUCCGCACCCGGCUCCGCAGCCCGGCUGGGCUCGCGGAGGGCGCGCGCGGGCCGAGGGAAACGCCGGGGCCCUGUGCCCUCCCUUGGCACGUGCCCGGGCACGGCGGCUCCGGGAGCGCCCGGCAUUCCCAGCGCCUGCUGGCAGCCGGCCCACGGAGCAGGCAGGUCCCUGCCGGCUCCGGGGCCACUGCCGUGCCCCGGCUCCUCUUCCCGCCGCCGCGGGGCUGGGAGCCGGGGCCGUGCCGGCAGCGCCGGAGCGGGCGCCGCGCGGCGGGGCUGCGAGCUGGGAGCGUGCCAUCCUCGCUCCAUCUGCUCCUGA